AAACCGGAGCUAAUACCGAUAAUAUUUCGAACCGCAUGGUUCGAUAGUGAAAGAUGGUUUUGCUAUCACUUAUAGAUGGACCUGCGCCGUAUUAGCUAGUUGGUAAGGUAACGGCUUACCAAGGCGACGAUACGUAGCCGACCUGAGAGGGUGAUCGGCCACACUGGAACUGAGACACGGUCCAGACUCCUACGGGAGGCAGCAGAC
Molecule: ribosomal RNA, 207 nt
Filed under: uncultured Staphylococcus sp.
Lineage: Bacteria; Bacillati; Bacillota; Bacilli; Caryophanales; Staphylococcaceae
Description: partial 16S ribosomal RNA
Rfam family: Bacterial small subunit ribosomal RNA
Source: RNAcentral